Molecule: long non-coding RNA, 814 nt
Organism: Homo sapiens (human)
Lineage: Eukaryota; Metazoa; Chordata; Mammalia; Primates; Hominidae
Source: Ensembl
AUUUUUUUGGAAGAUGACCAAAAUGCUAUCUCUAUUUGGAGAUAAUAAUUAGUCUCAUCUUCAUUGGCUUCUUCUCGAAUGCGGAGGGAAUUAUCGGAUGAGUACAUUGGAACAUGGUCGCCAUGUGGCCUGCUGCCCCCGUGUACCACUUGGAGACCAGCCUAGCAUGGAAAUGACCAGAUGUUGGAAGCUGAGCUACUGCUCAAGGUAUUAAUGCUUGAAAGAUAUUCCAUGUUUGAAGGGAUUUUUGUGGUGCUGGCCUACAAGUUGACCUUUUUGACGUGAAUAAGAAACAUUCUUCAAAACUGUGGUUGACAUCCAAGCUUGCUGUCAUGUUUUGAACUGCCCUAUGGAGAAAGCAACAUGGCUAAGAAUAUGAGAGAGCCAACAGGACAAUGAGGACCUCAAUACAGCAAGAAACCAAAUCCUGCCAACAACCAUGCACUCACAUCUCUACCCCACCAGCAGCGUCUUAGAGGCAGUGAGAACUCUAUUUUAGAAGGAAAACAGAAAACAGCCCGGGAAAAGAAAGAAAACAGAAGUCAAGACGUCCCAUCUGUGAUACAGAAUAACCCAUGACUUAAGAAUAUUUCAUGUAAUGACUUCAAACUACAGUAAGACUUCAGUACUUAAGAGCAUAGAUGUUGGAGUGAGAUGGUUGGGUCUAAAUCUUGGCUCCACCAUUCAUUGGCUCUGUGUCUUUGGGAACCUUCCAUAACCUCUGUAAGUCUCAGCCUCCUUGUCUGUAAACUGAAAGUAAUAAUAGUCCUUCCAUCAUUAGGCUGUUGCAAAGAUAAAAUGAAAUAGUGUAUGU